CAAAGUCUUCUUUUCUGUAAGCCCGAAAAUUGAGUUCUAAAAUACCAUUUUCCACAUAACUACUAUAUCAAAGCACAAACUAAUGGAUUGAUCAAAAAAGAGAUUGUAUGACUUCGGUAUCCGCAAUACGGUAUCGUGCAUUGAUUUCCAUCUUAGAAUGGUUCCCUUCCGUAUAGGUGGAAAUAGGAAAGGUUAUGUUCUUUUUUCUAAUUCUUAAGACGAAGAAGCUUAAUCGGUUCAAACAAAUAUGACGAUGAUCAUUAUGGAGCCGAUCAUGAUGACGAAUACGAUAAUGCAUAUAAUAAUAAAUAAAAUGAUUUUACUUGUAUCUUAGACUUAUAUGAAUAAAAAAUUAUUUGUUUAA
This is a non-coding RNA of Hydra vulgaris (swiftwater hydra), 364 nucleotides long. Lineage: Eukaryota; Metazoa; Cnidaria; Hydrozoa; Anthoathecata; Hydridae. The record is from RefSeq and is a predicted model, not a curated record.